GACGAACGCUGGCGGCGUGCUUAACACAUGCAAGUCGAACGGAAAGGCCCUGCUUUUGUGGGGUGCUCGAGUGGCGAACGGGUGAGUAACACGUGAGUAACCUGCCCCUGACUUUGGGAUAACUUCAGGAAACUGGGGCUAAUACCGGAUAGGAGCUCCUGCUGCAUGGUGGGGGUUGGAAAGUUUCGGCGGUUGGGGAUGGACUCGCGGCUUAUCAGCUUGUUGGUGGGGUAGUGGCUUACCAAGGGUUUGACGGGUAGCCGGCCUGAGAGGGUGACCGGCGACAUUGCUACUGAGAGACGGCGCAGACGGCUACGGGAGGCAGCAGUGGAGAGUAUUGCACAGUGGGGGGGAGCCUGAGACAACGGCGCCGCGUGCGGAAAGACGGCCUUCGGGUGAUGAACCGCUUUCGCCUGUGACGAAGCGUGAGUGACGGUAAUGGGUAAAGAAGCACCGGCUAACUACGUG
RNAcentral lists this ribosomal RNA (468 nucleotides) under uncultured bacterium. RNAcentral's name for it is "partial 16S ribosomal RNA". It matches the Rfam family "Bacterial small subunit ribosomal RNA", at positions 28 to 507 of the family's 1533-position model. The record is from RNAcentral.